ACCCACAAAAUAUGCCACAGGGUGACAAGGAAGAAGCCUGUGGCUUCAGUCCCACCUUUGAUAGGGAGAUGAAUAACAUCAGCUGCAGAGAUGGCACAUUAGCCACUUCCUAGAAGAGAAACGCACAAGGGGUUAAGUUAGAGAGGGGAACUCAAGCCUCUUGAAAGGCAGCUUUUGGCACUCCGUGCUGCAGACCACCAGUUCUUUGUAACCUACUGGCAGAGGUGACUUACCGCUGUGGAUAAAUUUGAAGACUUACCCGUUUUGAAUAAAUUGGGUCUAGACACAGACAUAAUCCUCACCAUGAUCUCCAGGUCAGCAUGUGUGAUGUUCUUGGCUGUAACUUUAAGUACCCCUGGAAUAGCUCAAAAGGUCAACCAGCCAGAAACAGCUACAGCUUUUGAUGGAAAACCUUAUCACCUGAGCUGCAGCCUGUCUUCCGAAUCAAGCGAUAUAAUCCACUGGUACCGGCAGUUCCCAGGGCAAGGACCUCAAUAUAUUGCUGGUGUAUAUCCAGGGCAAUCUCAGGAAAGUGCUGAUCCAAAGAGCACAUUGUACGUAGACCAGGACAAGAAAUCCAACACUCUUGAGCUCCAUCGGGUCACUGUGGCAGAUGCUGCAGUGUACUACUGUGCUCUGAGUGGCACAGUGUGUCAGGGAGGGACCAUCCCUAUUCAAAAACUCCUCUCAGAGGCUGAGCAGAGGAGGAGCUAAGGCAGGUGCAGGGAGAGAGUCAGCACACAACAACAUGCAGCGUAAGCUGGUGUAGCAAAGGGGUUUAGUGUUGAUCCAGGAAAUCAACACAGUUCAGAUUUCAACGAUGCUUCAAACCCAUGAAGUAGUUUUGAGGCAACCACCAUUCACUUAACACCAACUCAAUCUGAAAUAUGGGGAUAUGAUGCCAAACUGAUUUUCAAAGCCAGGA
Non-coding RNA from Rhineura floridana, 925 nucleotides. Lineage: Eukaryota; Metazoa; Chordata; Lepidosauria; Squamata; Rhineuridae. The record is from the annotation of a RefSeq genome assembly.